RNAcentral lists this ribosomal RNA (315 nucleotides) under uncultured eukaryote. RNAcentral's name for it is "partial 18S ribosomal RNA". It matches the Rfam family "Eukaryotic small subunit ribosomal RNA", at positions 1470 to 1796 of the family's 1831-position model. The record is from RNAcentral.
CCCCUAGAUGUUCUGGGCUGCACGCGCGCUACACUGACCAGUGCAACAAGCAUCCGUCCUUGGCCGACAGGCUCGGGCAAUCUUUGAACGCUGGUCGUGAUGGGGAUAGACUUUUGCAAUUUUUGGUCUUCAACGAGGAAUUCCUAGUAAACGCAAGUCAUCAACUUGCAUUGAUUACGUCCCUGCCCUUUGUACACACCGCCCGUCGCACCUACCGAUUGAAUGGUCCGGUGAAGCCUCCGGAUUGGCGCGCACCUCGGUGCCGCCGAGAAGUUGGCUAAACCUUACCAUUUAGAGGAAGGUGAAGUCGUAACA